GCGGGUGUAGCUCAGGGGUAGAGCACAACCUUGCCAAGGUUGGGGUCGUGGGUUCAAAUCCCAUCGCCCGCUCCA
This 75-nucleotide transfer RNA is filed under the name Ahrensia marina. RNAcentral describes it as "tRNA-Gly". It matches the Rfam family "tRNA". Rfam says of the family: Transfer RNA (tRNA) molecules are approximately 80 nucleotides in length. Lineage: Bacteria; Pseudomonadati; Pseudomonadota; Alphaproteobacteria; Hyphomicrobiales; Ahrensiaceae. The record is from RNAcentral. RNAcentral also lists the same sequence under 8 other names.